RNAcentral lists this ribosomal RNA (435 nucleotides) under uncultured bacterium. Its description in RNAcentral is "bacterial SSU rRNA". It matches the Rfam family "Bacterial small subunit ribosomal RNA", at positions 29 to 506 of the family's 1533-position model. The record is from RNAcentral.
ACGAACGCUGGCGGCAGGCUUAACACAUGCAAGUCGAACGCUCGUAGCAAUACGGGAGUGGCGGACGGGUGAGUAACGCGUGGGAACGUACCCUUAGGUUCGGAAUAACUGCGGGAAACUGCAGCUAAUACCGGAUGUGCCCCUUACGGGGGAAAGAUUUAUCGCCUUGGGAGCGGCCCGCGUCGGAUUAGCUAGUUGGUGGGGUAACGGCCUACCAAGGCUUCGAUCCGUAGCUGGUCUGAGAGGACGAUCAGCCACACUGGGACUGAGACACGGCCCAGACUCCUACGGGAGGCAGCAGUGGGGAAUCUUGCGCAAUGGGGGCAACCCUGACGCAGCCAUGCCGCGUGAACGAUGAAGGCCUUAGGGUUGUAAAGUUCUUUUGCCCGUGACGAUGAUGACGGUAACGGGAGAAUAAGCUCCGGCUAACUUCGU